GUUAUGGCUCAGCGGCACAGCAUUCGCCUAGCAUGUGCGAGGUGCUGGGUUCGAUCCUCAGCAUCACA
RNAcentral lists this transfer RNA (68 nucleotides) under Marmota monax (woodchuck). Its description in RNAcentral is "tRNA.Ala". The record is from RNAcentral. Lineage: Eukaryota; Metazoa; Chordata; Mammalia; Rodentia; Sciuridae.